AAAAAAAAUAGCGCGGUGGUCCCACCUGACCCCAUGCCGAACUCAGAAGUGAAACGCCGUAGCGCCGAUGGUAGUGUGGGGGAACUGCCAGGCAUCAAAUA
This 101-nucleotide ribosomal RNA is filed under the name Escherichia coli. The record is from RNAcentral. Lineage: Bacteria; Pseudomonadati; Pseudomonadota; Gammaproteobacteria; Enterobacterales; Enterobacteriaceae.